CGAGAUCGUUUUGAUUUUAGCG
RNAcentral lists this microRNA (22 nucleotides) under Panagrellus redivivus. Its description in RNAcentral is "prd-miR-7865-5p". The record is from miRBase by way of RNAcentral. Lineage: Eukaryota; Metazoa; Nematoda; Chromadorea; Rhabditida; Panagrolaimidae.